AUAUUGGUCAAUGGACGCAAGUCUGAACCAGCCAUGCCGCGUGAAGGAUGAAGGUCCUCUGGAUUGUAAACUUCUUUUAUCUGGGACGAAAACGGGAUUUUUAUCUCAAUUGACGGUACCAGAGGAAUAAGCACCGGCUAACUCCGUGCCAGCAGCCGCGGUCAUACGGAGGGUGCGAGCGUUAUCCGGAUUUACUGGGUUUAAAGGGUGCGUAGGUGGGCUUAUAAGUCAGUGGUGAAAUCUCCGAGCUUAACUUGGAAACUGCCGUUGAUACUAUAGGUCUUGAAUUAUCGGGAGGUAAGCGGAAUAUGUCAUGUAGCGGUGAAAUGCUUAGAUAUGACAUAGAACACCAAUUGCGAAGGCAGCUUACUACAUAUAAAUUGACGCUGAGGCACGAAAGCGUGGGGAUCAAACA
RNAcentral lists this ribosomal RNA (415 nucleotides) under uncultured bacterium. Its description in RNAcentral is "bacterial SSU rRNA". It matches the Rfam family "Bacterial small subunit ribosomal RNA", at positions 361 to 774 of the family's 1533-position model. The record is from RNAcentral.